GACUUCGGGGUGUAACGGUAGCACAUUCGGAUCGUAUUCGAGAGAUCCAGGUUCGAGUCCCGGCGAGAGCA
Molecule: transfer RNA, 71 nt
Filed under: Stegodyphus mimosarum
Lineage: Eukaryota; Metazoa; Arthropoda; Arachnida; Araneae; Eresidae
Rfam family: tRNA
About the family: Transfer RNA (tRNA) molecules are approximately 80 nucleotides in length. Their secondary structure includes four short double-helical elements and three loops (D, anti-codon, and T loops). Further hydrogen bonds mediate the characteristic L-shaped molecular structure. tRNAs have two regions of fundamental functional importance: the anti-codon, which is responsible for specific mRNA codon recognition, and the 3' end, to which the tRNAs corresponding amino acid is attached (by aminoacyl-tRNA synthetases). tRNAs cope with the degeneracy of the genetic code in two manners: having more than one tRNA (with a specific anti-codon) for a particular amino acid; and 'wobble' base-pairing, i.e. permitting non-standard base-pairing at the 3rd anti-codon position.
Source: Rfam by way of RNAcentral